GUUGGAUCCAUGAUGUUAAUUUACAAACUGCGUUAUCUAUCUGAGCUUCCUUUUUAAAGGGAUUGAAGAUAUUUUCCAUACUGAUAUCCAUU
This is a small nucleolar RNA of Hibiscus syriacus, 92 nucleotides long. RefSeq annotates it as small nucleolar RNA snoR27. NCBI's taxonomy places the organism in Eukaryota, Viridiplantae, Streptophyta, Magnoliopsida, Malvales, Malvaceae. The record is from RefSeq and is a predicted model, not a curated record. The transcript has a single exon.